UACAGAGGUCCCAAGCGUUGUUCGGAUUCAUUGGGCGUAAAGGGUGCGUAGGCGGCGCGGCAAGUCGGGCGUGAAAUCUCGGGGCUUAACUCCGAAACUGCAUUCGAUACUGCCGUGCUUGAGGACUGGAGAGGAGACUGGAAUUUACGGUGUAGCGGUGAAAUGCGUAGAUAUCGUAAGGAAGACCAGUGGCGAAGGCGGGUCUCUGGACAGUUCCUGACGCUGAGGCACGAAGGCCAGGGGAGCAAACGGG
RNAcentral lists this ribosomal RNA (253 nucleotides) under uncultured bacterium. RNAcentral describes it as "partial 16S ribosomal RNA". It matches the Rfam family "Bacterial small subunit ribosomal RNA", at positions 524 to 776 of the family's 1533-position model. The record is from RNAcentral.